RNAcentral lists this ribosomal RNA (464 nucleotides) under Vreelandella stevensii. RNAcentral's name for it is "partial 16S ribosomal RNA". It matches the Rfam family "Bacterial small subunit ribosomal RNA", at positions 338 to 795 of the family's 1533-position model. Lineage: Bacteria; Pseudomonadati; Pseudomonadota; Gammaproteobacteria; Oceanospirillales; Halomonadaceae. The record is from RNAcentral.
CCUACGGGCUCUGCAGUGGGGAAUAUUGGACAAUGGGCGAAAGCCUGAUCCAGCCAUGCCGCGUGUGUGAAGAAGGCCUUCGGGUUGUAAAGCACUUUCAGUGGGGAAGAAAGCCUUGGGGCUAAUACCCUCGAGGAAGGACAUCACCCACAGAAGAAGCACCGGCUAACUCCGUGCCAGCAGCCGCGGUAAUACGGAGGGUGCGAGCGUUAAUCGGAAUUACUGGGCGUAAAGCGCGCGUAGGCGGUCUGAUAAGCCGGUUGUGAAAGCCCCGGGCUCAACCUGGGAACGGCAUCCGGAACUGUCAGGCUAGAGUGCAGGAGAGGAAGGUAGAAUUCCCGGUGUAGCGGUGAAAUGCGUAGAGAUCGGGAGGAAUACCAGUGGCGAAGGCGGCCUUCUGGACUGACACUGACGCUGAGGUGCGAAAGCGUGGGUAGCAAACAGGAUUAGAUACCCUAGUAGUC